RNAcentral lists this long non-coding RNA (344 nucleotides) under Vitis vinifera (wine grape). Its description in RNAcentral is "long non-coding RNA (VVIN_LNC002348)". The record is from RNAcentral. Lineage: Eukaryota; Viridiplantae; Streptophyta; Magnoliopsida; Vitales; Vitaceae.
UUCCUAGCCAUCCACUUAUUUUUGCUCAAUCCCCUCGUUAUGGUACUACAUAUAUGUUAAUACAUAGAAAAGAUAGUGAAAACAAAACUCUAUACAGUUGGUCUUUUGAACCCGCUUCAAGUUGUGAUUGAUGCCUAAUCAACCAAUCUUGGGAUAAACAGUCUCUACUACUUGCUUAUGUUUAUUUCCGCUUAACUCUUGUACAUAGGAAAUGAGACUCAAUCCUUUUACUGUAAAUUUAUAAGCUGUUUUAUUUCACUCAUAUAACUAUCUGAUUUAGUUUAUCAACCCGAAUGAUGAAUAAAAAAUGACGAUAUUUAUUCAAUUCAUUCAACUUCUUUCCU